AACCCAUACUAAGAAUCAGGCAAUGCAGAAUUUUGAUUGAAGAAGAACAAAGAACGGCUUACACAAUUGCUACUUAGAUAUAACCACGACAGCUUCAUCCUGAAGAUAAAGCUUGUGUGCGGUGUUGGUUAAGAGUGAGAACUAAGGAUAAUUCACUAAAUGAAGAAAUACAAUCCGUUGAACCUAAUCAGCAGGAAAGUGAUAAUUCUGAACUGAUGUGUGCUGCAUGUGGUCAAAGUCUUACUCCUAACAACACUGCUUGUUUGUUGGAGCACCAGAAGGUAUAUAAUAAUAUGAAAUAACAUAUUUAUAGUAGUUAGCUUCUAAAAACACAAUGCAAAGAGCAAUUACAAUUUUAUGUUGCUAAAUGUAAGACACUAAUGAUGUUGGCUCUACUAACAACAACAAAAGGAUACUGGUCUUUCCAUUCUCUACUCCAGUGAACAAUAAAUAUAUUUAGUAUUUUUGGAAAGGUCUUCGGUAAAAACCAAUCAUUGUGUGUCGAGAUUUAUUCUCUAGCCUGGUCAUGUUUUGCACAAUUUAUAUCUAUCAUAUGUAAAUGCUUAAUUUUGAAUUACAUGAAUGUUAUUUAUUUACAGACACCUUCCAUUAAUGAAGUUUGUGAAGUUUGCUGGGGCCAAGUAUGCAAUUUGAGCUUCUAUGUUCCAGAUGGUCUAUGUUGCUUCAAGCUAAAAUAAAGUCCUGCCACUCUUCUCCUAGAACUUAUUUUGUUUUCAUAGUUGCAGAAACAAAUAUGAAUAGCCGGGACACAAUCAAAAGUGAUUGCUGUAAUUGUAUUGUAGGUUUAAGAACAGUGGGAUGCUGCUCACAUGUUAUGAGCAUUCUUUGGUAUUUGAGUUAUGCUUGCCAUGAGGGUAUGACCCGACCUGCCCCUUUCUUGGAUGAAGUAAUAUUAAGAACCAAUCAAGUAAUUAUAAGAAAAUAAAGUAAAUGAAAUUCCUACAAAAA
Spodoptera frugiperda (fall armyworm) is the source of this 969-nucleotide long non-coding RNA. RefSeq lists it as uncharacterized. The record is from RefSeq and is a predicted model, not a curated record. Lineage: Eukaryota; Metazoa; Arthropoda; Insecta; Lepidoptera; Noctuidae. The transcript has 2 exons.